RNAcentral lists this ribosomal RNA (468 nucleotides) under uncultured bacterium. RNAcentral's name for it is "partial 16S ribosomal RNA". It matches the Rfam family "Bacterial small subunit ribosomal RNA", at positions 28 to 507 of the family's 1533-position model. The record is from RNAcentral.
GACGAACGCUGGCGGCGUGCUUAACACAUGCAAGUCGAACGGAAAGACCCUGCUUUUGUGGGGUGCUCGAGUGGCGAACGGGGGAGUAACACGUGAGUAACCUGCCCUUGUCUUUGGGAUAACUUCAGGAAACUGGGGCUAAUACCGGAUAGGAGCUCCUGCUGCAUGGUGGGGGUUGGAAAGUUUCGGCGGUUGGGGAUGGAAUCGCGGCUUAUCAGCUUGUUGGUGGGGUAGUGGCUUACCAAGGCUUUGACGGGUAGCCGGCCUGAGAGGGUGACCGGCCACAUUGGGACUGAGAUACGGCCCAGACUCCUACGGGAGGCAGCAGUGGGGAAUAUUGCACAAUGGGCGGAAGCCUGAUGCAGCAACGCCGCGUGCGGGAUGACGGCCUUCGGGUUGUAAACCGCUUUCGCCUGUGACGAAGCGUGAGUGACGGUAAUGGGUAAAGAAGCACCGGCUAACUACGUG